AUACGAACUGUGCAAACGUUAUUCGGAAUCACUGGGCUUAAAGGGUGCGUGGGCGGCAGCGUAGGUCAGAUGUGAAAGCCCACGGCUCAACCGUGGAAUUGCGUUUGAAACCACACAGCUUGAGGGAGAUAGAGGAGAGCGGAACUGUUGGUGGAGCGGUGAAAUGCGUUGAUAUCAACAGGAACACCGGUGGCGAAAGCGGCUCUCUGGAUCUCUUCUGACGCUGAGGCACGAAAGCUAGGGGAGCGAACGGGAUUAGAAACCCUAGUAGUCC
This 274-nucleotide ribosomal RNA is filed under the name uncultured bacterium. RNAcentral describes it as "partial 16S ribosomal RNA". It matches the Rfam family "Bacterial small subunit ribosomal RNA", at positions 523 to 796 of the family's 1533-position model. The record is from RNAcentral.